This 1536-nucleotide long non-coding RNA is filed under the name Danio rerio (zebrafish). RNAcentral's name for it is "lncRNA (ENSDARG00000097715.2)". The record is from RNAcentral. Lineage: Eukaryota; Metazoa; Chordata; Actinopteri; Cypriniformes; Danionidae.
AGAAGAAGAAGAAGAAGAAUGAGCCAAAAGUAAAACGAAAGAUUACCAGUGAUGAAGGCCUCCAGCAUGAGUCCCAGAAGCAUCUGCAGGGCAAGCAGCGCGAUGGCAGUGGGGCAGUCUGCGUUUGGGUACAUUGUGCCAUACCCAAUAGUGAGUUGCGUCUCCAGGGCGAACGAGAAGGCGGCUGUGAACCCAUUCACAUGUUUAACACACAGCACAUGACCGGGAGGAGGAGAAUCAUGAUCCAGGACAUCCAGGUCUCCAUUGACCCGAGCCAGCAGGUACCAUAAUACAGCAAACAGCAGCCAGUGAAGCAGGAAUGAGCCACAAAAAGCCAAAACCACCCACCGCCACCGUAGCGCCAGCCAUGUGCCCCACAAGUCCCGCAGAGCACUGAAACACGUCUCUCUGGAGCCUCCUCUUGUGUUUCCUCUUGUCUGGCUCCGGCCGUCUUUGCUGACCAGGCGGCGACGCUGAGGUUUGACCAUCAAAGGGCAGGAGGCCUUUUGGUCAGCGGUGGUGUUUGUCAUGGUGGUAGGCAUGUGGAUGGUAUCUGGAAAGGUGAUUCCUCAGUGUUCUCAAAUGAAGUGUGAAAGCUUCUAGGAUGUUGAAGAAGGAUCUAGAUCUUGAGGAACCGCAGAUCCUCGGUCACAGUGUAAAACCAAGCUAGAUCCUUCAGUAGGAGACACCAGAGUCAGAUGCACUGAAGAAACUCCUGCAAACACACACACAUGCAAUGAAAAGAGCCGGCCCUGAAACUCAUUGGUCACAUUACUCAGCAUGUGGCCAAUUAGGAAAGCUUGAGAGAGGAGGAGAACACCUAGAGUCACUUCUGUGUGUGUGUUUGUGUAUGUGUGUAUGAUGAAAGGAACAGUACUUUUCUUUCUUACCCAUCGUUUUCUUUCUGUUAAACUUCUAUCAAUUACUGUUUCCGUUUCAGGGCUAAGUGUAGUGAAAGCAGGUUUUGUCCUGUUUUUGUUAGUCAGCGUGAUUCUUUCUGCAUGAGCGCAUGUGUUAACGAUUACAUAAUGUGUCUCAUUUAAAGGGUCACACUUUUCAGUCGCAAACUUUGCUGAUGAUAGUUCCAUGAUCACAUUUAAUUAAGGUUAUGUUUUAGUUUGUUUCAGAUCUUUCGCAUAAUUGCGUCACAGCAUAUCUCAGAUUGUUUGGUCUUGUCAGAAAUGUUUGAUGAGGAAUGUUCGAGUUCAUAUUGAGAUCUCUGACUUUGUUGUGUUUUUUUUAAAUGAGAUUUGUUUUCAUUCUCUGGCGUAAAAUGUGAGAAGUUUAAAUCUCAUUUAAUCUCAUCAGCAUCCAGGAGAAACAACAGAGAUAUUAAUCAAGAGAUCUCAAUUAUAAAUAAAAGAUCUUAUGCGAUUUUUGGUUAUCAUUGGGUUGGAACGCAUUCAUGAAAUUAAUACUUUUAAUUAACUAAGUUUGCACUUUACAUCAUACAAAAUGUCUAAUAAUAAGUAUUUUAAAUGAUAUAUAACAGUUUUGAAGUACAAAUAAAUUUACAUUAUUAAAUCAAUAUCAGGG